RNAcentral lists this non-coding RNA (239 nucleotides) under Peptoniphilus duerdenii. RNAcentral describes it as "T-box sequence". It matches the Rfam family "T-box leader". From Rfam's summary of the family: Uncharged tRNA acts as the effector for transcription antitermination of genes in the T-box leader family. Lineage: Bacteria; Bacillati; Bacillota; Tissierellia; Tissierellales; Peptoniphilaceae. The record is from RNAcentral.
UUAGUUGCAUUGAGAAGAGGAGUAUCUUCUAUUAUUUAUUUAAAGAGAGUCUUCGUUUGGUGAGAGAAGAUAAUAAAUGUAGUUGAGAAUAAAGACUUUGAGCAGCAAUCUGGAUUGUAAAUGAUAGGUUGCCGGGUAAUCCCGUUACAGAUGAAGAGUAUGUAGUACUUAGUGAGGUUUAAAGUGUGAACUUUAAAUAAAUAUGGGUGGUAACACGGUUUUAACGCUCCGUCCCAAGU